RNAcentral lists this ribosomal RNA (736 nucleotides) under Lactococcus lactis. Its description in RNAcentral is "bacterial SSU rRNA". It matches the Rfam family "Bacterial small subunit ribosomal RNA", at positions 137 to 861 of the family's 1533-position model. The record is from RNAcentral. Lineage: Bacteria; Bacillati; Bacillota; Bacilli; Lactobacillales; Streptococcaceae.
CGGGGGACAACAUUUGGAAACGAAUGCUAAUACCGCAUAAAAACUUUGAACACAAGUUUUAAGUUUGAAAGAUGCAAUUGCAUCACUCAAAGAUGAUCCCGCGUUGUAUUAGCUAGUUGGUGAGGUAAAGGCUCACCAAGGCGAUGAUACAUAGCCGACCUGAGAGGGUGAUCGGCCACAUUGGGACUGAGACACGGCCCAAACUCCUACGGGAGGCAGCAGUAGGGAAUCUUCGGCAAUGGACGAAAGUCUGACCGAGCAACGCCGCGUGAGUGAAGAAGGUUUUCGGAUCGUAAAACUCUGUUGGUAGAGAAGAACGUUGGUGAGAGUGGAAAGCUCAUCAAGUGACGGUAACUACCCAGAAAGGGACGGCUAACUACGUGCCAGCAGCCGCGGUAAUACGUAGGUCCCGAGCGUUGUCCGGAUUUAUUGGGCGUAAAGCGAGCGCAGGUGGUUUAUUAAGUCUGGUGUAAAAGGCAGUGGCUCAACCAUUGUAUGCAUUGGAAACUGGUAGACUUGAGUGCAGGAGAGGAGAGUGGAAUUCCAUGUGUAGCGGUGAAAUGCGUAGAUAUAUGGAGGAACACCGGUGGCGAAAGCGGCUCUCUGGCCUGUAACUGACACUGAGGCUCGAAAGCGUGGGGAGCAAACAGGAUUAGAUACCCUGGUAGUCCACGCCGUAAACGAUGAGUGCUAGAUGUAGGGAGCUAUAAGUUCUCUGUAUCGCAGCUAACGCAAU